GAUGAACGCUGACAGAAUGCUUAACACAUGCAAGUCGAUGGGGAAGUGGUGCUUGCACCAUGGUAACCAUGGCGGACGGGUGAGUAACGCGUAAGGAACUUGCCUGCGGGACUGGGAUAACAGCAGGAAACUGCUGAUAAUACCGGAUAAGGUCAUUAAGCUGCAUAGCUUAGUGAUGAAAGGAGACGCCUGCGGAGAGCCUUGCGUCCUAUUAGCUAGUUGGAGGGGUAACGGCCCACCAAGGCGAGGAUAGGUAGCCGGCCUGAGAGGGUGGACGGCCACAAGGGGACUGAGAUACGGCCAUUACUCCUACGGGAGGCAGCAGUGGGGAAUAUUGGACAAUGGGGGCAACCCUGAUCCAGCAAUUCUGUGUGCACGAAGACGGUUUUCGGAUUGUAAAGUGCUUUCAGCAGGGAAGAAGGAAGUGACGGUACCUGCAGAAGAAGCGACGGCUAAAUACGUG
This 463-nucleotide ribosomal RNA is filed under the name uncultured bacterium. RNAcentral's name for it is "partial 16S ribosomal RNA". It matches the Rfam family "Bacterial small subunit ribosomal RNA", at positions 28 to 507 of the family's 1533-position model. The record is from RNAcentral.